Long non-coding RNA from Haliotis rubra (blacklip abalone), 2369 nucleotides. RefSeq lists it as uncharacterized. Lineage: Eukaryota; Metazoa; Mollusca; Gastropoda; Lepetellida; Haliotidae. The record is from RefSeq and is a predicted model, not a curated record. The transcript has 5 exons.
GGAAGAACUGAAGAAUAAUCCCGAAAAACGGCACUUUACAUUUGGAAGGAACUUGGACUUCGUGAAUACUUGACAGCCUUUGCCAAACUUCCAGAAGGCGGGUCAUAUUUUCUCGGAGUUGGAGAAAAUGAAAUAUUAUAUCAGCGAUACAAAACCAAGAAAAUCGUGCUUGAAGAAGGCAUUCCCAAGGUUUUGUGGAUACACGAGUCAUUUUCACUUGAAAUAUUUCUUUAGGGAAUCGACACUGUUUUGCAGCUAUAGUGGAAGUUUAAAAAUACUGAAGACUCCGACUUUGACAUCUUUUGGCACUGGAACGAGUUCGGUAAACUGAUCUUGGAAUGUUCCAUAACUCCAAUGAAUGGUAUAUUAUUCUAUGCCCAGACCGGGCCUGUAUCAUACAAAGUACACAAUGGCCAACUCAGACAAAUCGAGCCUGAAGAGUGGUAUAAGGCAAUGACAAGAAAACGCAAGACUGAUGGUCCAGCAAAACACCACGAUGGGAAACGAACAGAGCCUAAGAAAAACCUGGCCAGAAGGACAGCAGAAGUUACAAAGAAGUGAUUAAUCGAGCUUCAGAACUCAGUGAAGAAAAUGACGAUGGGUCGACAGCAUCAUGUUUUGCCUUCGUUGAAGAAUCUUUACGAACUGCUCUUGAAACUUUCUCCUGACGCUAUUCUUCCACUUGAAAUUAUUUGUGAAGCUGUCAUUUUAAUUCCCCACAGGUUCGGAUUUGUGUUAACCGUCCAUGAUGGAAGUAGACGUUCUGCGGACAUUCUCUCUUACAGCUGCCAACUUGGGCGAGACCUAUCAGCUGCUGUUCGACUUUACACAAAAAGACAAUUUCAUUUUUCUUACGGAAGUUGUAUCAGUCUUUGAUGUCUUCUCGAGGAAGACCUUCACGGAAAAAAUAACAGAACUCAAGAAACGUAUGCAUAUUUAUUAUGCAUUCCUGACAUGUUUGGAAUAAAGAAGACAAAAUUUUGAGAAUCUUAUCAGCACCAUAGGAGUAUGUUCAUUUCAAGGAGAGAAGGACGACCAUCAGGAGACGGAGUACAGAAACUUAUCACCACAUUAACACAAUGCAACGAUCUUUCCAACACAGUGAGCAAAACAUUGAUGGAAAUUGCAGCAGAUGUAGAUGAACUUGAACAAAACAACCGACUCACGAAAGUAAUUUGUGCAGGCACGGGACUCAUUGGAACUGCUCUGUCAAUAUCAGGUUUGUUGCUUGGCCCCGUUGGGAUGCUCCUUGCACUGGUGCUGCUGCUGUCGGUGUUGGAGGGGUGUAGGUGAAACAAAGGACAAAAUCAAAGAAGCCCAAAUGGUUAUACUUGAAAUUCGAGGAUGUUUGCAAAGCCUUCGACUCGAAAUGAACGCCCAAAGAGAAGGUUGUCCUGUCAUCAGUGUCGACUAUAGCAAAUCGCUUACACUGCUGCUGGCUGUUUUCGAUGUUAUGGACGACAUCGUUGCAAAUGGACUUAAGAUAUCAAAGUUUGUAGGAGUGUUCCUGUCUGCCCUUCUGUUUACCUUUAGACGUGUACAAGUUGAUUUCAAAUGUUGUGGGGUUAAUUGAAAGAAGACCAUCUGCUGUUGCUGCGCAACUCCGUUCGAAGGCUAAUGAAAUGAAAGAUCUUUCGAAGGUUCUUGAUAAGAAAAUACCAGAUCUUGUGGCCAUCCUAGAUUCGGAGAGAUCUUGACUGUUGAGAGUAACUUUGAAUCCUCCAGGUACCACUGCACACAACAUGCCGGACCUGAGUGGAUAACAGUGAGUAAAAAGUCAGUCACAGAGUGAUGUAUGACUGACUGUCUGUAUUUAUGCCUACCCCAACUGCGAAAACUUUGCUAUGGCGAACUCUAAUGAAGCUAUUUCAUCAGAAUUACAUACAAUAAUUUGGUUGACAGAGGCAUUGAUGAUACGUGUGUCGUCACUCAAGUGAGACUGCAUUGAAACACUGUCUUCAUCAGAAGUAUUUUCAUAUCUUCCCCAACCAUGGCAACUUCAUUAGAACAGAUAACAAACACAUUCAGGUCGGACCAUGAUGCUUUAUAACUGAACCAGAGCCCCGGAUGUCUGGAGCAUACGUACUUCUGCCCAUGUGGAAGGGAGCAGUCAUUAUACAUAUUGUAACACCUUAUCUACGUGUUUUGUUUACAUGCUUGCCCAUGAACAUUUUUGGUUUCAUUUCCUUUACAUUAUGCAGACGAGGAACUGUGAGUGUCUCUAAAAGGGCGAAUCCCAAUAUGGGUACACUGUGUGAAGCCCAUUUCUGAUGUCCCCCGCCGUGAUGUUGCUGGAAUAUUGCUAAAAGCGACGUAAAAACCAAACUCAGUCAGUCAGUCUCAAAGGAGAUCAACACGUUUUGACGCGA